Long non-coding RNA from Peromyscus leucopus (white-footed mouse), 1101 nucleotides. RefSeq lists it as uncharacterized. NCBI's taxonomy places the organism in Eukaryota, Metazoa, Chordata, Mammalia, Rodentia, Cricetidae. The record is from RefSeq and is a predicted model, not a curated record. The transcript has 2 exons.
UCUGGAUGACAAAUAUAACUGAAUCAGGUCAUUUAACUUACCAUAAUCGCCUCAGGCACCAGGCUUACCACUGAGGCCGAGGCCUCUCUUCCCAAAGAAGUACCUGGGAGGUUUGAGAUGAAGGGAUGGGACCAGGCUCCCCUUGAACAGUGACAACUGGCCCUGGGAUUCAGUGCCAAUUUUCUUGGCUGUGCCUGUCAGCUCUGCCACGUACCUCCCUUCUCCUCAACUCACUGGGAGCUUUUUACCGGCCUUCCAGACCAACCAGGAUGGGAGCCAAGUUGCAGGGAGGAGGGCUCUUGGGAAAGGUGGUAAAGAAAUGGCAGGGUUCUUUCAGCCAGGGGAUUAAGCCACCUCCCACUUUCAGCAAACGCAGAAUGUUGGCGGGGUUGGAGCAAGAAAGGCGCCAAGAGCCCGGACCUGGAGGCCAGACCAAAAAGUUGCGAACUGACGGCACCUACUGGCAACCGUUAAGACUGCAGGAGGGCUGACGUGUUCCGGCCGGACACAAGGACUCUCAGUCACAUCUCAAGGAUAAAGUUGGCUCCCCACUGUCCCAUCUGCCUUGGAGGAAGGUAAACAGAACAGGUUCUUCAAGCUCCUGAGGAAGCCAGCGUUUUUUCUGGUUCAAAAGCCAGUCCCUGCUCCCUCCCGCCCCCCCCUUCUUCCUUAAAUCCAGUCGGCCUUCUACUUAAUGGAUGAACUUGAAGUCUAUCUCUAGCUAAAAAAAAAAAAGACUGAUUAUGACCCCCUAUCCACCCACCUCUUGGAACUCCUGUGGGAAUAAAUGGACCCAUAAGGACAGUUUUGAAGUCCAGUGCCCAACUCACCUGCCAGACAGCAAACCCAGGAUGCGUAGAAACGCUGGGAUGAAGUAUGAGUGCUGGUGAAGGUGGCCGGUCUGUACAGAAUUCUAGAUGAGACAGAUGCCCCCACUCCUCAACCGCGGCACCUCCUCCGCCCCCAACCCAUCCUCUGGUGUCCUUCCCAUCACUGCCUAGAUUCAUUCCCAGGAAGCCAGAGACCAAAAACUGCUCUCUCCACAUAUGGUACGUUCACUAAGCACCUGUUGUCUUGAGAAUAAAGUGAAGAUCAAAACCA